UCUGAACUUGAUGUUAUCAACAAACAACUCAGAUUUCAUGAGAGUCUGAGGAUUCCGACAUGGCUGUAACCAAGUCACGUAGUGCAGAAAACGAUUUUUAUUUAAGUUACCCCCAAAGCCUGCUGCUGAAGACAGCAGGACCUCUGGCAACCUACAUCCCUGAACUGCUGUUUGGAUCAGACUUCUCCCACCACUCUCUCCAAGCUGGACUCAUCUUCAACGUGUAGAUCUCCCAAGACGAGUCCAGUUCUUCUGACACUCAAUAGUGUAAGGGAAGCUAAGGUAGGCGAUGCCAACAUCUAUAAGCUUUAUCAUUGGUGAGCUUUUUGGAGGGAAAUCGUUCCCUUAUCUAAGUAAACCAGAUGAAUGAAAAUCAUCUCGAGAUUAAAAAUGAUCAUGUGGAC
Miniopterus natalensis is the source of this 404-nucleotide non-coding RNA. NCBI's taxonomy places the organism in Eukaryota, Metazoa, Chordata, Mammalia, Chiroptera, Miniopteridae. The record is from RefSeq and is a predicted model, not a curated record.